Molecule: ribosomal RNA, 291 nt
Filed under: uncultured bacterium
Lineage: Bacteria
Description: partial 16S ribosomal RNA
Rfam family: Bacterial small subunit ribosomal RNA
Source: RNAcentral
AGCGAACGCUGGCGGCGUGCUUAACACAUGCAAGUCGAGCGAAGGUGUUUCAAGGGUAACCUUGAGAUACACUUAGCGGCGGACGGGUGAGUAAUACGUGGAUAACUUACCUCUAGGCCUGGGAUAACCCCGGGAACGUGGGGCUAAUACCUGAUAAGACCACAUUGUCUACGGACAAAGGGGUAAAAGGUGGCUGUGCAAACAGCUAUCGCCAAAAGAUAGGUUCACGUCCCAUCAGGCAGUUGGUGAGGUAAUGGCUCACCAAACCAAAGACGGGUAGCCGGCCUUGGC